CACGUAGGCACCAAGCGUUAUCCGGAUUUAUUGGGCGUAAAGAGCUCGUAGGCGGUUCGGUAAGUCGGGUGUGAAAACUCUGGGCUCAACCCAGAGAGGCCACCCGAUACUGCUGUGACUAGAGUGCGGUAGGGGAGCGGGGAAUUCCUGGUGUAGCGGUGAAAUGCGUAGAGAUCAGGAAGAACACCGGUGGCGAAAGCGCUCUGCUGGACCUUAACUGACACUGAGGGACGAAAGCUAGGGGAGCAAACAGG
Molecule: ribosomal RNA, 254 nt
Filed under: uncultured bacterium
Lineage: Bacteria
Description: partial 16S ribosomal RNA
Rfam family: Bacterial small subunit ribosomal RNA
Source: RNAcentral